RNAcentral lists this ribosomal RNA (547 nucleotides) under uncultured archaeon. RNAcentral describes it as "bacterial SSU rRNA". It matches the Rfam family "Archaeal small subunit ribosomal RNA", at positions 326 to 879 of the family's 1478-position model. The record is from RNAcentral.
CGGGGUGCAGCAGGCGCGAAACCUUCGCAAUGCGCGAAAGCGUGACGAGGUUAAUCCGAGUGGCUUCCGCUGAGGAAGUCUUUUGCCGACUGUAAAAAGGUCGGAGAAUAAGGGGAGGGCAAGUCUGGUGUCAGCCGCCGCGGUAAUACCAGCUCCUCGAGUGGUCGGGGCGAUUAUUGGGCCUAAAGCAUCCGUAGCCUGUUCCGUAGGUCUCCUGCAAAAUCCAGUCGCUCAACGAUUGGCCCGCAGGAGAUACCGCGGGACUAGGAGGCGGGAGAGGUGGACGGUACUCCACGUGUAGGGGUAAAAUCCUUUGAUCCGUGGAAGACCACCAGUGGCGAAGGCGGUCCACCAGAACGCGCUCGACGGUGAGGGAUGAAAGCUGGGGGAGCGAACCGGAUUAGAUACCCGGGUAGUCCCAGCCGUAAACGAUGCUAGCUAGAUGAUCCAGUCGCAAAUCGCGACUGGAGUGUCGCAGGGAAGCCGUUAAGCUAGCCGCCUGGGGAGUACGGUCGCAAGACUGAAAAAGGAAUUGGCGGGGGAGCAC